This 445-nucleotide ribosomal RNA is filed under the name uncultured bacterium. RNAcentral describes it as "partial 16S ribosomal RNA". It matches the Rfam family "Bacterial small subunit ribosomal RNA", at positions 354 to 796 of the family's 1533-position model. The record is from RNAcentral.
GUGAGGAAUAUUGGUCAAUGGACGCAAGUCUGAACCAGCCAUGCCGCGUGCAGGAAGAAGGUUCUAUGGAUUGUAAACUGCUUUUGUACAGGAAGAAAUUAUCCCUCGUGAGGGAGCUUGACAGUACUGUAAGAAUAAGGAUCGGCUAACUCCGUGCCAGCAGCCGCGGUAAUACGGAGGAUCCAAGCGUUAUCCGGAAUCAUUGGGUUGAAAGGGUCCGUAGGCGGAUUAGUAAGUCAGCGGUGAAAGUUUGCAGCUUAACUGUAAAAUUGCCAUUGAUACUGCUAGUCUUGAAUGUGUGUGAAGUAGCUAGAAUAUGUAGUGUAGCGGUGAAAUGCUUAGAUAUUACAUGGAAUACCAAUUGCGAAGGCAGGUUACUAACAAAUGAUUGACGCUGAUGGACGAAAGCGUGGGUAGCGAACAGGAUUAGAAACCCUGGUAGUCC